RNAcentral lists this unclassified non-coding RNA (261 nucleotides) under Hevea brasiliensis (rubber tree). Lineage: Eukaryota; Viridiplantae; Streptophyta; Magnoliopsida; Malpighiales; Euphorbiaceae. The record is from RNAcentral.
AUCAAGAAAAAGGACGAGAUUGAGAGAGUUGCAAAGGCUAAUCGUUGAGGUUAUAUUUCAAGGUUUGUUUUAUGUGGCAUAGCAAGAGUUUUAUGUUAUUUUUCUUAUGUCUGGCUACAUUCUUCUAAUGAACAUUAUAGUCGAAGGUUUUGUUUUAGUUUCCUUGUUGCAACAUAUCUACUUGUUUUAGGCUUUUUCAAGUUUUGAUAUCAUUAUGUUUUCCAUCAGAACAAGCUAAUGCAUGAUGUUGUUUCUUAAAGU